This 30-nucleotide non-coding RNA is filed under the name Homo sapiens (human). Lineage: Eukaryota; Metazoa; Chordata; Mammalia; Primates; Hominidae. The record is from RNAcentral.
UAGGGUCUUGGUGGACUCAUUCCUAGGGGA